GACGAACGCUGGCGGCGUGCUUAACACAUGCAAGUCGAACGGUGAAAGCGGAGCUUGCUCCGCUGGAUCAGUGGCGAACGGGUGAGUAACACGUGGGCAACCUGCCCCUGACUUCGGGAUAACUCCUCGAAAGAGGUGCUCAUACCGGAUACGAAUCCUGCAGGCAUCUGCGGGCUUGGACAGUUUUUCGGUCAGGGAUGGGCCCGCGGCCUAUCAGCUUGUUGGUGAGGUAGUGGCUCACCAAGGCGACGCCGGGUAGCCGUCCUGGGAGGGCGACCGGCCACACUGGGACUGAGACACGGCCCAGACUCCUACGGGAGGCAGCAGUGGGGAAUAUUGCGCAAUGGGCGAAAGCCUGACGCAGCAACGCCGCGUGAGGGAUGACGGCCUUCGGGUUGUAAACCUCUUUCAGCAGGGAAGAAGCGAAAGUGACGGUACCUGCAGAAGAAGCACCGGCUAACUACGUGCCAGCCGCCGCCGUAA
This 483-nucleotide ribosomal RNA is filed under the name uncultured bacterium. RNAcentral's name for it is "partial 16S ribosomal RNA". It matches the Rfam family "Bacterial small subunit ribosomal RNA", at positions 28 to 523 of the family's 1533-position model. The record is from RNAcentral.